This 253-nucleotide ribosomal RNA is filed under the name uncultured bacterium. RNAcentral describes it as "partial 16S ribosomal RNA". It matches the Rfam family "Bacterial small subunit ribosomal RNA", at positions 524 to 776 of the family's 1533-position model. The record is from RNAcentral.
AACGUAGGGUGCAAGCGUUGUUCGGAUUUACUGGGCGUAAAGCGCGCGCAGGUGGGUGUACAAGUCGGGAGUGAAGUCCCAGGGCUCAACCCUGGGGCUGCUCCCGAAACUGUACGCCUAGGGACUGGUAGAGGCUGGUAGAAUUCCCCGUGUAGCGGUGGAAUGCGUAGAGAUCGGGAAGAAUACCCGUGGCGAAGGCGGCCAGCUGGGCCAGGUCCGACACUGAGGCGCGAAAGCGUGGGGAGCAAACGGG